Long non-coding RNA from Xenopus tropicalis (tropical clawed frog), 156 nucleotides. RefSeq lists it as uncharacterized. Lineage: Eukaryota; Metazoa; Chordata; Amphibia; Anura; Pipidae. The transcript is spliced from 4 exons. The record is from RefSeq and is a predicted model, not a curated record.
CUGAAGUGCUGUUUCUCUUGCUUCGGCAAGAGGAAACGAAAGCGGGCAGAUCAUUCCACCCCGGAAUCUGUCAUGGAGGAGAUCCCAGAGCCGCAAAUGGAGCCGGCGAUAGAGAACUGCCGGGAGACUCCAGGAAUCCCUGACACGGAGAUCUGU